Molecule: ribosomal RNA, 428 nt
Filed under: uncultured bacterium
Lineage: Bacteria
Description: partial 16S ribosomal RNA
Rfam family: Bacterial small subunit ribosomal RNA
Source: RNAcentral
GUGGGGAAUAUUGGGCAAUGGGCGCAAGCCUGACCCAGCAACGCCGCGUGAAGGAAGAAGGCUUUCGGGUUGUAAACUUCUUUGACAGGGGACGAAACAAAUGACGGUACCCUGAAAACAAGCCACGGCUAACUACGUGCCAGCAGCCGCGGUAAUACGUAGGUGGCAAGCGUUAUCCGGAUUUACUGGGUGUAAAGGGCGUGUAGGCGGGAUUACAAGUCAGAUGUGAAAACUAUGGGCUCAACCCAUAGCCUGCAUUUGAAACUGUAGUUCUUGAGUGAUGGAGAGGCAGACGGAAUUCCUCGUGUAGCGGUGAAAUGCGUAGAUAUGAGGAGGAACACCAGUGGCGAAGGCGGUCUGCUGGACAUUAACUGACGCUGAGGCGCGAAAGCGUGGGGAGCAAACAGGAUUAGAUACCCGGGUAGUCC